Mauremys mutica (yellowpond turtle) is the source of this 344-nucleotide long non-coding RNA. RefSeq lists it as uncharacterized. The transcript is spliced from 3 exons. NCBI's taxonomy places the organism in Eukaryota, Metazoa, Chordata, Testudines, Geoemydidae. The record is from RefSeq and is a predicted model, not a curated record.
GAUGCUCAGUUCCUUUUGGCAUUUAAGGUAAUUGUACAGCUCAGGCCCAGCACUCUGAGGUGAAAUAUACCUACACUGUGUGUGAUUCAGUGAACUUGAUUAUUAGAGUAUAUGGUACUCUGAUAGCAAAGCAUGCACUGGCUGGUCUCUGAAGUUUGGCAGUCUCCACAUAGUAAUAGAGCUGAUUAGAAAUGUGUUUUCAUCAUCGAAGAACUAAAAUAACAUAUAUGCUGAUCUUUUCAUGUCUCUGUGUUGAAGAAGAAGAAGAAGCAGAAGAAAUGAAAAUUUAACCCCAAGUAAAUAUUAGUAUUUGGAAGAAAAAUUGAAAUAUUAAAUCCCAGAUA